RNAcentral lists this ribosomal RNA (853 nucleotides) under Helotiales sp. 2Di181-2. RNAcentral describes it as "eukaryotic LSU rRNA". It matches the Rfam family "Eukaryotic large subunit ribosomal RNA", at positions 66 to 937 of the family's 3401-position model. The record is from RNAcentral. Lineage: Eukaryota; Fungi; Ascomycota; Leotiomycetes; Helotiales.
CAACAGGGAUUACCUCAGUAACGGCGAGUGAAGCGGUAACAGCUCAAAUUUGAAAGCUAGCUCUUUUAGGGUUCGCAUUGUAAUUUGUAGAAGAUGCUUCGGGUGUGGCCCCGGUCUAAGUUCCUUGGAACAGGACGUCAUAGAGGGUGAGAAUCCCGUAUGUGACUGGGUGCUUUCGCUCAUGUGAAGCUCUUUCGACGAGUCGAGUUGUUUGGGAAUGCAGCUCAAAAUGGGUGGUAAAUUUCAUCUAAAGCUAAAUAUUGGCCAGAGACCGAUAGCGCACAAGUAGAGUGAUCGAAAGAUGAAAAGCACUUUGGAAAGAGAGUUAAACAGUACGUGAAAUUGUUGAAAGGGAAGCGCUUGCAACCAGACUUGCGCGCUGAUGAUCAUCCGGGCUUCUGUCCGGUGCACUCGUCUGCGCUCAGGCCAGCAUCGGUUUCGGUGGUGGGAUAAAGGCCUUGGGAAUGUAGCUUCUUUCGGGGAGUGUUAUAGCCCUCGGUGCAAUGCCGCCUACCGGGACCGAGGACCGCGCUUCGGCUAGGAUGCUGGCGUAAUGGUUGUAAGCGACCCGUCUUGAAACACGGACCAAGGAGUCUAACAUCUAUGCGAGUGUUUGGGUGUCAAACCCAUACGCGUAAUGAAAGUGAACGGAGGUGAGAACCCUUAAGGGUGCAUCAUCGACCGAUCCUGAUGUCUUCGGAUGGAUUUGAGUAAGAGCAUAGCUGUUGGGACCCGAAAGAUGGUGAACUAUGCGUGAAUAGGGUGAAGCCAGAGGAAACUCUGGUGGAGGCUCGCAGCGGUUCUGACGUGCAAAUCGAUCGUCAAAUUUGCGUAUAGGGCGAAAGACUAAUCG